This is a long non-coding RNA of Etheostoma spectabile (orangethroat darter), 190 nucleotides long. RefSeq lists it as uncharacterized. The record is from RefSeq and is a predicted model, not a curated record. Lineage: Eukaryota; Metazoa; Chordata; Actinopteri; Perciformes; Percidae. The transcript has 3 exons.
UUAACUUCAGGCCCUGUUUACACGAAUACACUCGCGGGUAAAAACCGUAAAAAUAUUUUAUCAGAUGUGCUUUUCGUUUAGACGGCGACGGCGUUUUUGGGGCUUAAAAACGCAAAUAAGUGAAACCACCCUCCAGAGUGGAAAUCUUAAAAACGCCUCACAGUCACGUUCCCGUCUUAAGGGUAAAAAC